Molecule: transfer RNA, 76 nt
Filed under: Armatimonadota bacterium
Lineage: Bacteria; Bacillati; Armatimonadota
Also listed under: 1 other name
Description: tRNA-Arg
Rfam family: tRNA
About the family: Transfer RNA (tRNA) molecules are approximately 80 nucleotides in length. Their secondary structure includes four short double-helical elements and three loops (D, anti-codon, and T loops).
Source: RNAcentral
GCGCCCGUAGCUCAGUGGAUAGAGCACUGGCCUCCGGAGCCAGGGGUCUCGCGUUCAAAUCGCGACGGGCGUACCA